RNAcentral lists this ribosomal RNA (497 nucleotides) under uncultured bacterium. RNAcentral's name for it is "partial 16S ribosomal RNA". It matches the Rfam family "Bacterial small subunit ribosomal RNA", at positions 28 to 507 of the family's 1533-position model. The record is from RNAcentral.
GAUGAACGCUGGCGGCGUGCCUAAUACAUGCAAGUCGAGCGAACAGACGAGGAGCUUGCUCCUCUGACGUUAGCGGCGGACGGGUGUGUAACACGUGUAUAACGUACCUAUAAUACUGGGAUAACCACGGGAAACCGGCGCUAAUACCGGAGAAUAUACUGAAGCGCAGGGUGGAAUAGUGAAAUACGGUUUUUCUGUCAGUUAUAGAUGGAUCCGCGCCGCAUUAGCUAGUUGUUAAGGUAACGGCUUACCAAGGCGACGAUGCGUAGCCGACCUGAGAGGGUGAUCGGCCACACUGGAGCGGAGACACGGUCCAGACUCCUACGGGAGGCAGCAGUAGGGAAUCUUACGCAGUGGGCGGAAGCCUGACGGAGCAGCGCCGCGUGAGUGAUGAAGGUCUUCGGAUCGUAAAGCUGUGUUAUUAGGGGAGAACAAAUGUGUAAGUAACCAUGCACGUAUUGACGGUACCUAGUCAGAAAGCCCCGGCUAACUACGUG